Molecule: non-coding RNA, 79 nt
Organism: Datura stramonium (jimsonweed)
Lineage: Eukaryota; Viridiplantae; Streptophyta; Magnoliopsida; Solanales; Solanaceae
Source: the annotation of a GenBank genome assembly
GCCCGUUUAGCUCAGUUGGUAGAGUUCAAGGCUCUUAACCUUGUGGUUGUGGGUGGUUACACGAGCCCCAUGGUGGGCG